Molecule: long non-coding RNA, 836 nt
Organism: Triticum aestivum (bread wheat)
Lineage: Eukaryota; Viridiplantae; Streptophyta; Magnoliopsida; Poales; Poaceae
Exons: 2
Source: RefSeq, a predicted model, not a curated record
UCAACGGCGACGCGCCCGCUGCCCCAUCCCCAACCAGCAGCGCCGUCGCCACCAACCCCCCAGCCAGAGAGGAGAAGCCGCCCCGACACCAACCGGAGACGCCGCCACGCCCCAACCGGAGCCGCUGCCGCCGCCACCUGCGCUCAUCCGGCUCUGCGCCCUGCAACGCCACGCGCCGCCGUCCUUUGCAAUCGCACGUUGUUCGCGAGAUGGAUCUCGCCUCUGCCAUCGCACGGCGCGGAUGCGGCCGGCCCGGCGUGCGGCGAUUCUUGGCUGCGUUGCCAGUCCCCGUGCACGGAUCUGAGCAGAGCCGACAAGAUCCGUAGACACCAUCGCUCAUGGGCAUCUGGUCACAGCGGCCGCCGUUGUGGCCAUUGCAGGAGCUGCUUAGGGCGACGUCCUCUGGCGCGCUGCCUCCUCUUCCCACCCUCCUUCGAGCCCCCACCGUGGUGAAGUCCUACUGCAGAAAUAUGCCAAGUCCUACUACAGCAGGUCUGCCAUGGUGAAGUUGAACCCUGAGCUCUGAGGCCGGCGCCUAGCCAAACCCCCACGCCGGGCCUUGGGUCCAUAACACGGGGGGCGCUGCACCGCCAUUCAGCUGCAGCGCUGGAGCCUCCAUGGAAGGUCAGGUAAAUUUCUCGUGGCAGUAUAAACAAAAUAACAGCGACAAAUCAAUUCACUUCCUGAGUAUGAGGGUGAGUUCAGAGAUCAUGCUUCUACAGAGAAAAUGGAGUCAUGCAAGGUUCCCCUAAUCAUCCAGUCAACCAGCGAUGGUGUCCAUGACGGGCUGCAGUUAGGAAAAAGUGUUGAACCUAAAUAAUCUGCUAUGGAGGAGA